This is a long non-coding RNA of Triticum aestivum (bread wheat), 489 nucleotides long. RefSeq lists it as uncharacterized. The record is from RefSeq and is a predicted model, not a curated record. Lineage: Eukaryota; Viridiplantae; Streptophyta; Magnoliopsida; Poales; Poaceae. The transcript is spliced from 3 exons.
ACAAAAAAACUGAAACUUUAUCUCCUAAUAUCCGUCCAUUUUUGCAAAAUCAAAUUUGUGUCGGUUAUGUGACCAAUGACCAUACACUUGUUUCAAAUAAUCAUACGCUUAUCAAUUUCCACAGACAGGUUAAUGGUGUAUACCUGCUUCUGAGCUGCCAUGCAAAGGCUCUGUUAUCUCUUGAAUUUAUCCAUUGCCAGCUUUAUCCUGCAGUCAUGGAUAAAGUUUGCAUUAGUCUUUGCCAGCGAGGUUCCCAAAACUACAGUUAGCAUUAAAAGCUGGUGUGUUUUAUGACAGAGUGACAAAUAUGACUAUUUGGGGAAACCAUUCAACAACUCAGGUUCCUAAUUUCUUGAAUGCCAAAAUUAAUGGGAGGCCAGUAAAAGAAGUCAUCAAAGAUACAAAGUGGCUAGAAGAGGAUUUUCCUAUAACUGUUCAAAAGGUACACAAUUCCUGAUUGAUUGGGACAACUAAGAGAAUAUUGUGUAC